This 468-nucleotide ribosomal RNA is filed under the name uncultured bacterium. Its description in RNAcentral is "partial 16S ribosomal RNA". It matches the Rfam family "Bacterial small subunit ribosomal RNA", at positions 28 to 507 of the family's 1533-position model. The record is from RNAcentral.
GACGAACGCUGGCGGCGUGCUUAACACAUGCAAGUCGAACGGAAAGGCCCUGCUUUUGUGGGGUGCUCGAGUGGCGAACGGGUGAGUAACACGUGAGUAACCUGCCCUUGACUUUGGGAUAACUUCAGGAAACUGGGGCUAAUACCGGAUAGGAGCUCCUGCUGCAUGGUGGGGGUUGGAAAGUUUCGGCGGUUGGGGAUGGACUCGCGGCUUAUCAGCUUGUUGGUGGGGUAGUGGCUUACCAAGGCUUUGACGGGUAGCCGGCCUGGGAGGGUGACCGGCCACAUUGGGACUGAGAGACGGCCCAGACUCCUACGGGAGGCAGCAGUGGGGAAUAUUGCGCAAUGGGCGGAAGCCUGAUGCAGCAACGCCGCGUGCGGGAUGACGGCCUUCGGGUUGUAAACCGCUUUCGCCUGUGACGAAGCGUGAGUGACGGUAAUGGGUAAAGAAGCACCGGCUAACUACGUG